Non-coding RNA from Paramuricea clavata, 281 nucleotides. The record is from the annotation of a GenBank genome assembly. NCBI's taxonomy places the organism in Eukaryota, Metazoa, Cnidaria, Anthozoa, Malacalcyonacea, Plexauridae.
CCCCCCCCGCCAAUGGGCAGAAGGACUGCCCUCGUGAAAAGCUGAAAUCCGGGCAGAAUAUGGGGGGGGGGGGUACGAUGUGUGAAUAAUGAUACCGAUCCCUCCUGUUUACCAAUAAAAGUUGUAGUCUUCCCUAUCUAGAAUCCUAACUCCAGUAAAAAAUGUCUAUGGUGGUUGAAAGCACAUUUGAACUUGAAUUUGCGCGCAUAGUAUAGCAGUCAUGACCGACUUCUACAAAAACGAAGACAUCGUGCUAUUUUGCUGUUAUAUUUGCUUGUACA